This is a long non-coding RNA of Parasteatoda tepidariorum (common house spider), 775 nucleotides long. RefSeq lists it as uncharacterized. The record is from RefSeq and is a predicted model, not a curated record. NCBI's taxonomy places the organism in Eukaryota, Metazoa, Arthropoda, Arachnida, Araneae, Theridiidae.
UUAAAGAUUACGCAAUAUUAUUAUUAUUAUUUUUUCUCAAUUCAAUUUUAAUUCUUUAAUCCAACUAAUCCUAUUCAUUUUACAUUAAUGUUUAAAAUAUUGCUUUUAUUAGUUUAAAUAAAUAAAAUUGGAAUGUUUGAAAAAGCAGCGUUUAAAUAUGAAAUUUAAUUGCUGAAAAUAGACAGUGCUAAGAUAUUUGAAAUAGAAAUGCCAGAAAUAAGUAGUCCUUGUGUUUUUUUUGUAGAAGAAUAGAGGAGCUAGGUAUUAUUAUUAUUUUUUAGGUAAAGCAGAAAAAAAGGCAAAAAUGAGAGUGAAGAGAAGAAAUAAUAGUUGGUAUUCCAAAUGGAUGGAGAGAUAGGAAGCAGAGUUUGUCUGACUGUAUCCCAGAUUUUGAUGUGAACUCAAUAUUGAGUAAAUCCUAGUUGUGAAGAUAUGUGAUACAUGGCUUUGAUAGAGAAAGGAAACUAAAACAUUCAUAGAUAAUUGAGGAAAAGUUAAUGUUAAUGAUGUGCCUAUUUUUGUCAAGGAAAAAAAGGGGGAUAACAUUAUUGAGUUUGUAGAAGUCAAAGAAGACAACAUUGCAAGUGCAAAAUAUAUUUAUAGAAUUAUGCUUGUCAUUUUAUCAUGGUUUUGCAGUUUAUUGACAGUUUUGGAAAUAUUCUGUUCUAUCAUUGACCUUUUGUCUGUUACUAUUGCUCAAAGCUUUGUUGUUGGUACAUUUUUCAUAAUGCUGUAUAAACAUGUUAUAAAUGUUAUAAUAAAUUGUUAUUGUUUA